UACGUAGGGUGCAAGCGUUAUCCGGAAUUAUUGGGCGUAAAGAGCUCGUAGGCGGUUUGUCGCGUCUGCUGUGAAAACCCGAGGCUCAACCUCGGGCCUGCAGUGGGUACGGGCAGACUAGAGUGCGGUAGGGGAGAGUGGAAUUCCUGGUGUAGCGGUGGAAUGCGCAGAUAUCAGGAGGAACACCGAUGGCGAAGGCAGAUCUCUGGGCCGUAACUGACGCUGAGGAGCGAAAGCAUGGGGAGCGAACAGG
This 253-nucleotide ribosomal RNA is filed under the name uncultured bacterium. RNAcentral's name for it is "partial 16S ribosomal RNA". It matches the Rfam family "Bacterial small subunit ribosomal RNA", at positions 524 to 776 of the family's 1533-position model. The record is from RNAcentral.